UGAACGCUGGCGGCGUGCUUAACACAUGCAAGUCGUACGAGAACUCUUUAGCUUGCUAAAGAUAGUAAAGUGGCGCACGGGUGAGUAACGCGUGGGUAAUCUACCUCCGAAUCGGGGAUAACCCGCCGAAAGGCGAGCUAAUACCGGAUAAUAUCUAUAAAACCUCGGUUUUAAAGAUCAAAGGUGGUCUCUACAUGUAAGCUACUGUUUGGAGAUGAGCCCGCGUACCAUUAGCUUGUUGGUAGGGUAAUGGCCUACCAAGGCUUCGAUGGUUAGCUGGUCUGAGAGGAUGAUCAGCCACACUGGAACUGACACACGGUCCAGACUCCUACGGGAGGCAGCAGUGAGGAAUUUUGCGCAAUGGGGGAAACCCUGACGCAGCAACGCCGCGUGAGUGAUGAAGGCUUUCGGGUCGUAAAGCUCUGUCAAGUGGGAAGAACAUGCUUGAUGCUAAUACCAUCUUGCACUGACGGUACCACUGAAGGAAGCACCGGCUAACUCC
RNAcentral lists this ribosomal RNA (502 nucleotides) under uncultured bacterium. RNAcentral's name for it is "bacterial SSU rRNA". It matches the Rfam family "Bacterial small subunit ribosomal RNA", at positions 30 to 504 of the family's 1533-position model. The record is from RNAcentral.